Molecule: ribosomal RNA, 492 nt
Filed under: uncultured bacterium
Lineage: Bacteria
Description: partial 16S ribosomal RNA
Rfam family: Bacterial small subunit ribosomal RNA
Source: RNAcentral
GAUGAACGCUAGCUACAGGCUUAACACAUGCAAGUCGAGGGGAAACGACAUCGAAAGCUUGCUUUUGAUGGGCGUCGACCGGCGCACGGGUGAGUAACGCGUAUCCAACCUGCCCAUCACUUGGGAAUAACCUUGCGAAAGUAAGACUAAUACCCAAUGAUAUCCCACGAAGGCAUCGGAAUGGGAUUAAAGAUUUAUCGGUGAUGGAUGGGGAUGCGUCUGAUUAGCUUGUUGGCGGGGUAACGGCCCACCAAGGCAACGAUCAGUAGGGGUUCUGAGAGGAAGGCCCCCAAAGUGGGAACUGAGACAGGGCCCAAACUCCUACGGGAGGAAGCAGGGAGGAAUAUGGUACAGGGGGAGAGAGCCUAAACCAGCAAAUUGGGGUGAAGGAAGGCGCCCCUAUGGUUGGUAAACUGUUUUUAAAAGGAAAUAAGGUGGGUCACGUGUGAUUUUUUGAAGGAACUUUAUAAAAAGGGCCGGGCUAGUCCCGUC